GUGGUCGUGUUGUCGGCAAGGGCGCAUGGUGGAUGCCUUGGCAGACAGGACCGAUGAAGGACGCGUGGGGCCGCGAUAGGCCUCGGGGAGCCGCCGACAGGGCUUUGAUCCGAGGGUGUCCGAAUGGGGUAACCCGCCGGCCGUGAUGGGCCGGCACCGCAUUCGUGCGGGGGGUACGCAGGGAAGUGAAACAUCUCAGUACCUGCAGGAAAGGAUAUUCCGUGAGUAGUGGCGAGCGAAAGCGGAUGAUGGCCAAACCGGUGCCGUGCGAGACCCGUCGGGGGUUGCGGCAUGGGUGUUGUGGGACUUGGCGUCCGGGCUCCGACGGGCCCGGCGGCAGUGAUAAAGCGGCGUGUGAGGCGAACGGGAUUGAAUUCCCGGCCGUAGAGGGUGAUGGCCCCGUAGCCGAAGGCGCGCCGCCUGCCGGUUCUUGUUCCCAAGUAGCGCGGGACUCGUGGAAUCCCGUGUGAAUCGGCCCCGACCGUGGGGUAAGCCUGAAUAUUCCUGUCUGACCGAUAGCGUACGAGUACCGUGAGGGAAAGGUGAAAAGCACCCCGGGAGGGGAGUGAAAGAGUUUCUGAAACCGUGUGCCUACAAUCCGUCGGAGCCUUUCGGGGUGACGGCGUGCCUAUCGAAAAAUGAGUCUGCGAGUCAGUGGUGCGUGGCGAGGCUAACCCGUGUGGGGCAGCCGUAGCGAAAGCGAGUCCGAUAAGGGCGUUCCAGUCGCGUGUCCUGGACCCGAAGCGGGAUGAUCUAGCCCUGGGCAGGUUGAAGCGCGGGUAAGACCGCGUGGAGGACCGAACGGACCUGGGUUGAAAACCGGGCCGAUGACCUGGGGCUAGGGGUGAAAGGCCAAUCAAAUUCCGUGAUAGCUGGUUCUCUCCGAAAUGCAUUUCGGUGCAGCGUCGCGUGAGUGCCUCCAUGGGGUAGAGCUACUGGAUGCUUGAGGGCCCGUAUCGGGUACCGACAGCAGCCAAACUCCGAAUACGUGUGAGGUGUAUCGCGGCAGUGAGUCGGCGGGGGAUAAGCUCCGUCGUCGAGAGGGAGACAGCCCAGAUCGUCGUCUAAGGUCCCUAAGCGCGUGCUAAGUGGGAAAGGAUGUGGAGUCGCAUAGACAGCCAGGAGGUUGGCUCAGAAGCAGCCAUCCUUGAAAGAGUGCGUAACAGCUCACUGGUCUAGUGGUUCCGCGCCGAUAAUGUAGCGGGGCUCAAGCACGCCACCGAAGACGCGGCAGCGCAGUUCGCUGUGCUGGGUAGGAGAGCGUUCCGCGUGGGGUGAAGCGGCGGCGUGAGCCGGCCGUGGACCGCGUGGAAGUGAGAAUGCAGACAUGAGUAGCGAGAGGCGGGUGAGAAUCCCGUCCGCUGGAUGACCAAGGGUUCCGGGGCCACGUUCGUCGUCCCCGGGUGAGUCGGGUCCUAAGGCGAGGCCGACAGGCGUAGUCGAAUGGAUGAAGGAGUCGAUAUUCUCCUACCGGCGUCAAGCCGUCCAAUCCAAGACGUGGAAGCGUGCCCUUACCUGUGUCGGGUGGUGGUCUUCGGACCGUCCGAUGGCAUGGGACCGGCGUGUGGAUGCGUGGCGGGUAGCGCGGGAGUGACACGGAACGGGAGCCGGGCCGCGGUGGUGGUUGUCCGUGGUCAAGCAUGUGGCGCGUCGGGCAGGUAAAUCCGUCCGGCAUGAGCGUGAGGUGUGAUGAUGGGGGGUCUUGUGCCCCGAAUCCGGUGUGCCGUUCCGUCGAGAAAAGCUUCGACGUGAGGAGUGGCGCCGCCCGUACCCCAAACCGACACUGGUGGUCAGGUAGAGUAUACCAAAGCGAUCGAGCGAAUCCUGGUCAAGGAACUCGGCAAAUCACUCCCGUGCCUUCGGUAUAAGGGAGGCCCCUGCCGGUGAGGCGCUUCACGCGCGGAGCCGGCGGGGGCGGCACAGACCAGGGGGUAGCGACUGUUUACCAAAAACACAGGUGCAUGCGAAGACGUAAGUCGCUGUAUAUGCACUGACGCCUGCCCGGUGCCGGAAGGUUAAGAGGAUCCGUCAUCCCUCUUCGGAGGGGGCAGCGGUGAAUUCAAGCCCCGGUAAACGGCGGUGGUAACUAUAACCAUCCUAAGGUAGCGAAAUUCCUUGUCGGGUAAGUUCCGACCUGCACGAAUGGCGUAACGACUUCCCCACUGUCUCGACCAGGAGCUCGGCGAAAUUGCAGUACGAGUAAAGAUGCUCGUUAAGCGCAGAAGGACGAAAAGACCCCGGGACCUUUACUAUACCUUGGUAUUGGCGUUAGGUGCGGACUGUGUAGCAUAGGCGGGAGGCUUCGAAGCGGGUGCGCCAGCAUCCGUGGAGCCGGAAUGUGAAAUACCGCUCUGUCCUCAUCUGGCCUCUAACCUCGGCCGGUCAUCCCGGCCAGGGACAGUGCCUGGCGGGUAGUUUAACUGGGGCGGUUGCCUCCCAAAGAGUAACGGAGGCGCCCAAGGGUUCCCUCAGCCCGGUUGGCAAUCGGGUGUUGAGUGCAAUCGCACAAGGGAGCUUGACUGCGAGACCGACGGGUCGAGCAGGGACGAAAGUCGGAGAUAGUGAUCCGGUGCCGGCGUACGGACGCGGCAUCGCUCAACGGAUAAAAGGUACCCCGGGGAUAACAGGCUGAUCAUCCCCAAGAGUCCAUAUCGACGGGAUGGUUUGGCACCUCGAUGUCGGCUCGUCGCAUCCUGGGGCUGGAGCAGGUCCCAAGGGUUCGGCCGUUCGCCGAUUAAAGCGGCACGCGAGCUGGGUUCAGAACGUCGUGAGACAGUUUGGUCUCUAUCCUCUGCGCUCGUUGGAAUCUUGAGGAGCCCUGCCCAUAGUACGAGAGGACCUGGGUGGACGAACCUCUGGUAUGCCGGUUGUCGCGCCAGCGGCACGGCCGGUUGGCUACGUUCGGAUGGGAUAACCGCUGAAAGCAUCUAAGCGGGAAGCCCCCUCCAAGAUAAGGAUUCCAUGAAGCCUUGCGGCUUCUGAAGACCCCAUGCAGAACACAUGGUCGAUAGACCGGACGUGGACACCCCGCAAGGGGCGGAGCCGACCGGCACUAAUGGUCGAAGACAACACAACAACCC
Molecule: ribosomal RNA, 3080 nt
Filed under: Bifidobacterium polysaccharolyticum
Lineage: Bacteria; Bacillati; Actinomycetota; Actinomycetes; Bifidobacteriales; Bifidobacteriaceae
Description: 23S ribosomal RNA
Rfam family: Bacterial large subunit ribosomal RNA
Source: RNAcentral